UGGGGAAUAUUGGACAAUGGGCGAAAGCCUUAUCCAGCCAUGCCGCGUGUGUGAAGAAGGUCUUCGGAUUGUAAAGCACUUUAAGUUGGGAGGAAGGGCAUUAACCUAAUACGUUAGUGUUUUGACGUUACCGACAGAAUAAGCACCGGCUAACUCUGUGCCAGCAGCCGCGGUAAUACAGAGGGUGCAAGCGUUAAUCGGAAUUACUGGGCGUAAAGCGCGCGUAGGUGGUUUGUUAAGUUGGAUGUGAAAGCCCCGGGCUCAACCUGGGAACUGCAUCCAAAACUGGCAAGCUAGAGUACGGUAGAGGGUGGUGGAAUUUCCUGUGUAGCGGUGAAAUGCGUAGAUAUAGGAAGGAACACCAGUGGCGAAGGCGACCACCUGGACUGAUACUGACACUGAGGUGCGAAAGCGUGGGGAGCAAACA
RNAcentral lists this ribosomal RNA (427 nucleotides) under uncultured bacterium. RNAcentral's name for it is "partial 16S ribosomal RNA". It matches the Rfam family "Bacterial small subunit ribosomal RNA", at positions 355 to 774 of the family's 1533-position model. The record is from RNAcentral.